RNAcentral lists this ribosomal RNA (447 nucleotides) under uncultured bacterium. Its description in RNAcentral is "partial 16S ribosomal RNA". It matches the Rfam family "Bacterial small subunit ribosomal RNA", at positions 29 to 523 of the family's 1533-position model. The record is from RNAcentral.
AACGAACGCUGGCGGCAGGCCUAACACAUGCAAGUCGAACGCCCCGCAAGGGGAGUGGCAGACGGGUGAGUAACGCGUGGGAAUCUCCCUUAUGGUACGGAAUAGCCCCGGGAAACUUGGAGUAAUACCGUAUAAGCUCGAAAGAGGAAAGAUUUAUCGCCAUAAGAUGAGCCCGCGUUGGAUUAGCUAGUUGGUGAGGUAACGGCUCACCAAGGCGACGAUCCAUAGCUGGUCUGAGAGGAUGAUCAGCCACACUGGGACUGAGACACGGCCCAGACUCCUACGGGAGGCAGCAGUGGGGAAUAUUGGACAAUGGGCGCAAGCCUGAUCCAGCCAUGCCGCGUGAGUGACGAAGGUCUUCGGAUUGUAAAGCUCUUUUGGCGGGGACGAUAAUGACGGUACCCGCAGAAUAAGCCCCGGCUAACUUCGUGCCAGCAGCCGCCGUAA